ACCACUACAGUCGGAUCGAACCGAUCAACGCCGCUUUUCAGCCUGUAUCCUGCGGAUAACAAAUAUAUCCGAUCGACGCCUUUCGGGCCAUCACUUCCGAGGGAUUUCCAGACGAAGACCCGGCGACAGGCCGUCUCCUUCGCGGUGUCGGCAGAAUUUUUUUGGAGACGAAGCUACUUGCUUCUGUGACGAUGACAUCGGACCUCUGGCUUCUAUGCUUUAAAAAGGUUGUCAGGAUGAAGUUUUUGGGACACUCUCCUUUGGACAGGUUCGAAUGAGCGGGGAUCUUCCUGGGGAACCCGGGAGGCCACUGGGGUGGCUGACUUCGCUAGGCGCAAUCGGGGAUGAGUCUGCCGUCUUUUCCGGGUGGAGGCUCCCCUUUUGGGCGUCCGGGAGAGGCGCUCCGCCUUCGUACCUACACACAGGUCGGGUCGAAAGAGCUCGGCCCGACCCCUCCGACGAUCAAGUUAGUGAAUAGUCAUAGGGGGUUUUUGUUGUCUCCUCCUCCUUUUCCUCGGAGCGCGAGGGUUUUUAUAGUGAAGGUUACCGUUGUCUGAUGUGCCAGCUUGCAGGGAGCAGGAUCGUACUCCUGAUAACGUCUGACAUCGACGUUGGCGUAGCAUGAAGGACCGAACCUGAGCAGGAUGUUAAUGUGCCUCAGUCGGCAUUUCGAUCCGUGUUGACCAGGUGCUGUCAGGUUAACAGAGGCGCGAGGCGUCAUCUGGGACAGUUGACGUCAACCCGAGUCUUAUCGCCAUUAUUGUCCUCAUCAGAUAGCAAAGUCUCGAGGGUGAUCUUGAUUAUGAUUAUUUCUGGACGAACAAAUCGACUGUGAAAAAGUGAUGCUUUCAAGAGGUUUGCAGGUCUGACUUUUGAGAUGCACAGAUUUGUGAGCUAAAUCCAUGAAGUUGCGAAGCAAAUCCGUAUGAUAUCGUAGAAUUUGGACUGAACACAAAGUUUAUCUUAAUCAUUUUCACUAAAGGAACCAAAUACUUAUAA
Musa acuminata AAA Group (dessert banana) is the source of this 999-nucleotide long non-coding RNA. RefSeq lists it as uncharacterized. The record is from RefSeq and is a predicted model, not a curated record. The transcript has 4 exons. Lineage: Eukaryota; Viridiplantae; Streptophyta; Magnoliopsida; Zingiberales; Musaceae.